RNAcentral lists this ribosomal RNA (245 nucleotides) under uncultured bacterium. Its description in RNAcentral is "partial 16S ribosomal RNA". It matches the Rfam family "Bacterial small subunit ribosomal RNA", at positions 524 to 768 of the family's 1533-position model. The record is from RNAcentral.
GACGUAGGGGGCCAGCGUUGUCCGGAGUUACUGGGCGUAAAGGGCCCGCAGGCGGUCCGCCGCGUUUGGGGUGACAGUCCUCGGCUUAACUGAGGAAGGACUCCGAAGACGGGUGGACUUGAGGACCAGACAGGGACACGGAACUCCGGGUGGAGCGGUGAAAUGCGUAGAGCUCCGGAAGAACACCAAAGGCGAAGGCAGUGUCCUGGCUGGUAGCUGACGCUCAGGGGCGAAAGCCAGGGGAG